AUAUAUAUAUAAUAUAUAUAUACUACCAUUUUUUUCUCAGUCGUCGCUACAGAGACGUAUCUGCCAUACAAAAGACCCUCUUCACAUUCUUCGAAAAUCGGGCAGCUAUGUUGUUACCUUUUCGUGCAGACAAUUCGUAGGGUCGGUGAGAGGAUCGAGCCUGCAACCGUGCAGCAUCGUGACUGUAAAUAGUUGUGAAUCAUAAUUAAAGUAGUAAGUUAUAUCUUGUAAUAAUCCCAUGGGAAAUAAAUCUGACGGUCAAUAUCACACAUAGUUCCUAAUUUCUUGAGAAUUUCAAAGGAGGCCCAGUGUAGACGUCAGUGUAUUAGUUCAUACUCUCUUCAAACCCAGUGGUUUCGAGUUGCUCGUACAUCAGUCAUCAUCAGUAGCGCCAAGCCCUGUGAAUGGAAUGAAGGCCAUCCUGCACUUAACCUUCAUUCAUUACAUUAGCAGACUGAGAGUGGCACUACUGUCAGUCAAUAUCUUUGUCAGUUUCAGAGAAUCCUCUAUCUUGUCCUGUUGAAGUAUUCUAUCCAUGUUUGCAAAAUAUAUAAGCGUAUAUGAUUUAUACUACAGCCUUACACCUUUCAGGUGCCCCGGGUUUCAGGAUGCAAAACGUAGAUUGAACAUCGGUUGACUGUACUGAUUGGAUGAGAAAUCUCACCAGGUGAAGGUGGAGCGAAUGAGGUCGCAUGCAAAUGAAAAACUGAUGAACAAACUAGCAGCUGCCAGACGACGUGCAGAGGAGCUUCGUGCAAAGGCUGAGGCCCUUCGGUGUGAGCAAGCAGCCAAGACAGCUACUCGGUCUGAGGACAUUCGCCGCACGGGGAAAGUCCCAACGUCUUUCUUUGGCCACCUCUGUGGGUGAGAUCCCAGCCGCUGCCAGAUUACGUAGCCUAGCAGCAGCUCCAAAGGUCACCAC
Molecule: long non-coding RNA, 922 nt
Filed under: Physcomitrium patens
Lineage: Eukaryota; Viridiplantae; Streptophyta; Bryopsida; Funariales; Funariaceae
Description: long non-coding RNA (PPAT_LNC008818)
Source: RNAcentral